CCCCUGGCUUCAUCUAGUGUUUGGCCAAGUUUCUCUGCAUUUGCUCCCAUCAGUUGCUGCAUGACGCUUCUCUGAGAACAGUUGGACCAGGUCCCUGCCCUGCUUGAGUUCCUGUCCUGACGUCCUUUGAUGGUGAACUGUGAUGUGGAAGCAUAAACCAAAUAAAGCCUCUCCUCUCCACAGUGCUUUAGUCACGGUGUCUCAUCACAGCCAUAGUGACUGUCCAGGACAAAGACUAACCACAUAUGCAAGCUCCAAGUCCCAGAGACCCUGCAUCAGAAGAAUGAAAUGCGAGAGUGAGGGAGGGAUAUUCUCAGCAUCGGCCUUGGGCUUCCACAAACAUCUCCACACUGUGCCAAGGCACAUCUGAACAUGCACACACAGACAAAUGAAAGAAAGAAAAACAUAAAAGGUUCAAUAAAGUUACAGUAGAAAAUGUCCCAAA
Mastomys coucha (southern multimammate mouse) is the source of this 445-nucleotide long non-coding RNA. RefSeq lists it as uncharacterized. The record is from RefSeq and is a predicted model, not a curated record. NCBI's taxonomy places the organism in Eukaryota, Metazoa, Chordata, Mammalia, Rodentia, Muridae. The transcript is spliced from 2 exons.